AAAAUUCCUACCACAGCCAAAUACUUAUGCUUACUAGAUUAGGAAAACCUUCCAUUUAUAUUUCAACCUAUAAGCAUUGAGGGUAGUUAAGCUGUGUAGACCCUAAGAACUAGUCAUGCAGUUAAAGUCAAUAUUAUGUGCUCUCCAUCCAUUGAUCUUAGCUACUUCUAUCCUCAGAAGUAUGCAACCACUUACAUCCACUAUGCAUUCACUAUGUGCUACUUCUAUUCCUGGAAGUACCACCCACAUAUACACACUACACUCUACUCCUACAUUGGGAGUACGCAUUCCUCUAUUCACCCAUACACAUUCUACAUCCACUUAGAAAAUGUUCUACUCCUACGCUGGGAGAAGUCACUCAAAAAUAUUUAUUACAUCUUAUUCUACUUAUCUGAUAAAGCUCCAUUCCAGUUGAUAUUCCCUAUUGUCAUCAGUGCAUUAAAAGGGUUGGCUGAUCUCUAAAAAAUGAUGAGAAAAAGAAAAGAAAGAGGACAAAAGUCCCAAAACAAAAGAAAAGAAAGAAAGCCAAGUCCUUGUUCUCAAAUUAGGGAAGUAUGUUAUCCCCAAGGAGCAGCUGUAGAAUUAGAUAUUCACCAUAAAUUAUCAUCCCUCAUAACCACUUUCAUUCUUAUCAUUCACCUUAUUCACUGCACUCACAUACACAUAUGACUUAAUUGUGUAAUUAGUUUCUCUGGAUCCAUGGUUUAACUAUGCAAUACAUGCAAGUAGGUUUGAAUUGUCUUUCCCACCUAUGAGCUCCACAUAAGCCAAUUAGAAAUAGAGUGAGAGAGAGAGAAGGCAACUAUGCCUUAGUCCUACAAAUACCACAUAUGAGAGACUAGAAAGUGUCAUACAAGGAAUCUUUGAGUUUUAUUUGAAAAUUUUGCAAAAACUCUGGAGUAAUAGUUGA
This 910-nucleotide long non-coding RNA is filed under the name Sorghum bicolor (sorghum). Its description in RNAcentral is "long non-coding RNA (SBIC_LNC007814)". The record is from RNAcentral. Lineage: Eukaryota; Viridiplantae; Streptophyta; Magnoliopsida; Poales; Poaceae.